Molecule: long non-coding RNA, 135 nt
Filed under: Phasianus colchicus (ring-necked pheasant)
Lineage: Eukaryota; Metazoa; Chordata; Aves; Galliformes; Phasianidae
Description: lncRNA (ENSPCLG00000017618.1)
Source: RNAcentral
GCUGCCUGUGUGGCUGGCACUGGCUCCCUUUGUGGCUGGCACUAGCUCUCUAUGUGGCUUGCAUUCGCUAUGUGGCUGGCACUGGCUCUCUCUGUGGCUCCCUUGGGCUCCCUAUGUGGCUCGCACCGGCUCCCU